Pelobates cultripes (western spadefoot toad) is the source of this 1272-nucleotide non-coding RNA. Lineage: Eukaryota; Metazoa; Chordata; Amphibia; Anura; Pelobatidae. The record is from the annotation of a GenBank genome assembly.
UUUUUUACCCUUUGAGUUGCUUAAAGGGGAGAGCCACAUUAUAAAUCACUGCAAUGCUCAGCUCUAGCACAGAAAAGAUUUAAUACGAUUUUGUGUACAUGAUUUGUCAGUGAUGGUGAACUUAUGCAUGAGUGUCACCUCUACUGAGAUCAAUACUAAGUGUCAGUCCUCUAUCCUAGAGGCUUGAGAAAAUUAUAUUUGAGAUGGGCAUAGAUGUUCCAUAGCAGCAUCUUUAUCAUCAGAAACUUGUGUCCACGGUCAUAGAUAUCAGCACAUGUUAAAGUACUUAAGUGGUAAGAAACGUGCAGUAGCUAGGUUGUAGAUGUGUGCAUUCACAGUGAAUGGGAAGAGAGAAUGCAUGAAUGAAAAAAUCAGUACGGAUACGGUAAAAAGGAGUAGGAACUGCUAUUGAAUAGUGAGAUGAAGAGGAUAUUUAGUAAUAGAUAUAGGAUUGAUGUCACAGCACAGUGAUAUGGUGAGGUAGAAUAAAUAUUGAGAUAUAACAAUUGUGAACUGGGAUGAGACAGCUGUGAGGAUUUAUGGAAGGCUAAUGUGGAUGGGGGAAGGGAGAGGAAAGAGAUAGUGAGUGAGCACCAAGACAGGAAAGGAUGGAGAGAAGAAAUUGAGAUGACUCCAUACAGAAGAGCGGGAGUCUGAAUAGAAGAGAGAAGUGCGUAUGGAUGGACAGGCAGGAAGACGAGGAAAGAAAACAAGGAGAAUAUUGUACAGUCGAAAAUAAAAAGGCUAAUGUUUCUUCAAAAGAUUUUCUAUUUGGGCUCAAGCUUGUCAUCAUCAUUGAUGUAACUUAAAGUUUCAUCCCCUAGAGAAUACUUACUUUCUUACAGUAGGGCUUGAAGGUGAUGUUCCACUUACACAGUUAAAAACAUAAUUCCUUUUUUUGUAUAAUCACUCCACAUUGAAAUGCCCAAUCCCUGCCCAUAUGUUUAUAAAGUCAGUGCUUUGGUAAUUUUAGAUAUCUAAUGAAAGAGGUAGUCUAAGCACCAUAACCACUAAAACUACUGUUUAUGGUGCUUCACGCCCUGUGUCUGGUUAGUGUCAAACAGUUUUGGUGUGGUUUUCCCAGCACCACUGCAGAGGCUUGCUACUGUGGAACAGAGUGUACAAAACAGCUCUGCAACCAUGGAAAGCAUCGAUUGGCUCAGAACACUGGAGGCAGUUCAUCCCAGCCUAUCAUUGAAGUCCUAGGUUGCACAUCUUGGACUGAUAAUGCAAAAGUGAUUAUCCAUUAUCCAAGUGGCAAAGGAUCAAGCU